Molecule: small RNA, 966 nt
Filed under: Pongo abelii (Sumatran orangutan)
Lineage: Eukaryota; Metazoa; Chordata; Mammalia; Primates; Hominidae
Description: retained intron
Source: RNAcentral
AUUCCGCGGUGUCGGCUGCGGCGGCAGUGGUGGUGGCGGGUACCGCACGGGGUAUGGUCCCCGGGUCCGAGGGCCCGGCCCGCGCCGGGAGCGUGGUGGCCGACGUGGUGUUUGUGAUUGAGGGUACGGCCAACCUGGGACCCUACUUCGAGGGGCUCCGCAAGCACUACCUGCUCCCGGCCAUCGAGUAUUUUAAUGGUGGUCCUCCUGCUGAGACUGACUUCGGGGGAGACUAUGGGGGGACCCAGUACAGCCUCGUGGUGUUCAACACAGUGGACUGCGCUCCCGAGUCCUACGUACAAUGUCACGCUCCCACCAGCAGCGCCUAUGAGUUUGUCACCUGGCUCGAUGGCAUUAAGUGAGCUUUCCCCCACUUGGGGUGGGUUGGGGGGCCCUGUGAGGGGCCGUGAAUGAGGGAUGGCUUGGGGUGGUUGGUGUCCCCGUGAGGGGCUGUGAAUAAGUGAUGGCUUGGGGUGGUUGGGGUCCCUGCGAGGGGCUGUGAAUGAGUGAUGGCUUGGGUUUGAGCUGCAGGAAACAUCCUAUGCAUUAAGCGAUUGAAAGGACUUUGAAAGUGAUUGUGUUUUUGUCAGAAGUCACUUUUGUGGUGGCUUCUGUGUGCUCAGCAAUGUUGCCAUCCAGUUUAGAAGCAGGAAAAACUUCCCAUUCAGGGAGGCCUGGCUGAGCUCCAGCAGCCACCUUGUACUCCCUGUGUGAUUGUCCCCUUUCUGUCCUCUCUUUUUCCAUCUACCCCUGUCCUCCUUUUCCAGAUGGGUACAUUGUAGCCUCAGUGCAGGGGGAUGGGUCAGAGCCAGGAUAGAUCCCUCUGUGGCUUGGGUCAGAUUUUUUUUUUUUUUUUUUUGAAGCAGAGUCUUGCUCUGUCUCCGAGGCUGGAGUGCAGUGGCACAGUCUUGGCUCACUGCAACCUGUACCUCCCGGAUUGAAGCGAUUCUUCUGCCUCAGCCUCCC